GACGGAGGAUGCAAGGGUUAGCCGGAAUCACUGGGCGUAAAGCGUCUGUAGGUGGUCAAAUAAGUCAACUGUUAAAUCUUGAGGCUCAACCACAAAAUCGCAGUCGAAACUAUUAGACUAGAGUAUAGUAGGGGUAAAGGGAAUUUCCAGUGGAGCGGUGAAAUGCGUAGAGAUUGGAAAGAACACCGAUGGCGAAGGCACUUUACUGGGCUAUUACUAACACUGAGAGACGAAAGCUAGGGUAGCAAAUGGG
Molecule: ribosomal RNA, 253 nt
Filed under: uncultured bacterium
Lineage: Bacteria
Description: partial 16S ribosomal RNA
Rfam family: Bacterial small subunit ribosomal RNA
Source: RNAcentral